CUUGUGAUACUGUGAAUGUUAGCAUUACAUCGUCAAUUUCGUAGUUUGGUGCCCAUUUAGUCCGUAUUAUAAUGAAUUUGACCAACUUAGAGCAUUUAAAGUGGGUUUUAGUCGUACAUUUUGUCUUAGCUCCAGAUCUGAAACAACACAAACCCCCCAGGAACGUCUCCAGCCCAAAAGCAGAUGAUGGACGUACGAUGAGCUCGAGGAUACUCGUCCACUGGCGAUGACCCUUGAGGGCGCGGCCUUUCUCCCUCCGUGUACUGAGAUGGUUCCUCGCAUACCUGCAGGGAUAACGGGUCAGUAAGUACCCACCGCUGUUUUCUCAGGGUGGUAAUACUUGAAAUAUAUUGCAACUCAGUGAAGCUGUGAUUUGAAAAAAAGUGUGGAAAAUGGACCAAGAUAUGUGUGAAAAUAACACUUCACUCACAUCGUCGUCUGACUGGAAGUUCAGCUGCUUGGCAGUUACAAAUUGUCUCACUUGUCGUGCGAGCUAGACUGUAAGUCACACAUUUUGAUGGAAAUCUUAACAAUGAUUCCUUUUUAUAUCGUGUCAUUACAAUAAUUCAAAACUGAUUCAUGUUUGAAUCAAUACCCUAUGUAUUCCAAAUAACUUUGUUUAAACAGUACACAGAAGAGCAAAACCACUGACGAAUUAGAAAUGUUGUUAUUUUAUUCUUUUAUUUUCUUCCACUUUUUCCUGGAUUCUAAAGUAGCAAGUGUGUCAUAACUUCAAUAGGCAAGAGCAGGUCCCUUGUCCAUCAGGAGACAUACAAUUACUAACACAGGACAAUUCAGAGUCAUCAGUUAACCCUUUUGGACUGUGGGAGGAAACCAGAGUGCUUUGUCAAAAGGUUACAAGCAAAUAGAGUAUACAUGCUCUGCACAGAGAGGUGUGUGGUUGCCUCAGGCUAGAUUCAAACCAAAGAUCUUCCUACUGGCUACUAGCUUACAAUUCUAAACCGUCUUUUAUGGUUAAUCAUUGUACUUACUGAGUCGUCCGGGCCACCCGGAUCUGGUCCUCGGAGCCUUCGCCCUGCUCCUGUCAAAUAAACAAAACAACAACAUUUAACUGACGGCGCGUGAGGAAGAAGGUAAGUGUCCAUUUUUGACGACAUAUAAAUCAAGAAACCACAAGUGCAUUGCAAUCAUUACAACAAAUAAUCUGCCUCUUAUACAGCUAUUAGAGAGAUUCCCAUGUGGCUGCAUUACUGUGAGUGUUUCACUGCGCUAAUGCAGUGUCAGCAAUUCUUGCAAUUAGAACAACAGCAAACAGGUAAGCACUCAGUUGUGUGGGUAUAUUCAGCAAUUUAAUGUUAAUAAGGAGACUGUCUCUCUAAACACACAACGGCUACCAGCGCACGGUAAAACUCCACAGCAUCACUUGCUCACACGUAAUUAUGAGACAUGCCUCCUUCAUGCUACUGGCUGUUGCCAUGAAAGGCCUUCAUGUUUUGACGAGGAGUUUGAUAUUGGAGAUGAGACUGAGCCUAUUCAGAGUUCUUCCUGGCAAUGAUUCCCCAAGAGAUCAGCUGCCUUCCUUGUCUGCUAACUGAUCCAUCGUAUCGAUCGACAGAUUAGACUGGCUCGCCUUUCUUGGUUUCCAAAAAUGGAAAGUCCGACCAAAUGAAUCAGAUUAGUCAUUGUGUUAUCAUUUCCCUGUUGGUGUUCGGUUACACAUUGAAUUUGUUUUCAAUUUUAGUCCCUUUUUUCCACAAAAAGUGCUACUGAAUCAUCAUAAUUUCAGGGGUUAAAACUC
This is a long non-coding RNA of Synchiropus splendidus (mandarinfish), 1759 nucleotides long. RefSeq lists it as uncharacterized. The record is from RefSeq and is a predicted model, not a curated record. NCBI's taxonomy places the organism in Eukaryota, Metazoa, Chordata, Actinopteri, Syngnathiformes, Callionymidae. The transcript is spliced from 3 exons.